GACGAACGCUGGCGGCGUGCUUAACACAUGCAAGUCGAACGGAAAGGCCCUGCUUUUGUGGGGUGCUCGAGUGGCGAACGGGUGAGUAACACGUGAGUAACCUGCCCUUGACUUUGGGAUAACUUCAGGAAACUGGGGCUAAUACCGGAUAGGAGCUCCUGCUGCAUGGUGGGGGUUGGAAAGUUUCGGCUGUUGGGGUUGGACUCUCGGCUUAUCAGCUUUUUGGUGGGGUAGUGGCUUACCAAGGAUUUGACGGGUAGCCGGCCUGGGAGGGUGACAGGCCAAAUAGGGACUGAGAGACGGACCAGACUCAUACGGGAGGAAGGAGGGGGGAAAAAUGAACAAAGGGCGGAAGCCGGAUGAAGAAACGCCGCGUGGGGGAUGACGGCCUUCGGGUUGUAACCGAUUUCGCCUGUGACGAAGCGUGAGUGACGGUAAUGGGUAAAGAAGCACCGGCUAACUACGUG
Molecule: ribosomal RNA, 467 nt
Filed under: uncultured bacterium
Lineage: Bacteria
Description: partial 16S ribosomal RNA
Rfam family: Bacterial small subunit ribosomal RNA
Source: RNAcentral